UACGGGGGGGGCAAGCGUUGUUCGGAAUUACUGGGCGUAAAGGGCUCGUAGGCGGCCAACUAAGUCAGACGUGAAAUCCCUCGGCUUAACCGGGGAACUGCGUCUGAUACUGGAUGGCUUGAGAUUGGGAGAGGGAUGCGGAAUUCCAGGUGUAGCGGUGAAAUGCGUAGAUAUCAGGAGGAACACCGGUGGUGGUAGACGGCUCACUGGACCGUAACUGACGCUGAGACACGAAAGCGUGGGUAGCAAACAGG
RNAcentral lists this ribosomal RNA (254 nucleotides) under uncultured bacterium. RNAcentral's name for it is "partial 16S ribosomal RNA". It matches the Rfam family "Bacterial small subunit ribosomal RNA", at positions 524 to 776 of the family's 1533-position model. The record is from RNAcentral.